UUGAGCAAACUUUAACAUACAAAAAAUCCUUGAAUAGUUUGUAAGACGUGUUUGAAACGAUCGAUUUUCCUUUUAAUUGGGGAAUUCAAUUCCAAUGAGAAGCCCUGUUAAAUUUGAAAUCAUCUCUUGAUUCACUCAGAGCAGUUGCCAGCUUCUUUAUCUCAGCCUUUUCGGGAGUGUUGCGUUGAUCCGUUGCAGCAUCAUCGCCUGGAGCCAUUCUCUGAAAUCUACUGGGUGUCCCUGCUUCUCCUUUAUAACUUUCAUCCUUCUCAUUAUAUGUUUGGCUGUCCACAGAUUGAUUGGCUGGAGACUGUUCCUCUGUCAUGCUCGGUGAUAGGCUACAACAUGAAUCUCUUCCGAUCAUGUCAUCGAUCGAACUUACGGAGAACGACACCCUUCUUCCAGAACUGCUGGGGCUUAUUGGAGCUCUAUCAGCAUUUACAACUUUGUGAGUUGCCAUGUCUAGAGGAGGAGGAAGACUCUUCGAGAUCCGCAGUGGAUGCCGGGGAAGAGUAAGAAUCCUCGGAAUCAAACUCGAUGCAGCUUAAGCUCUUCUCAUCUGCAUCACCGUUUCCAUACUCUAGUAUGAGUUGCUUUGCCAUCUUCUCUGACCUGGGGCUCAAGUUCUUGCUGAGAUCUUUCGCACCCAUCCUUCCAUGUGGCGGCUGAUAGUUUCUAAGCUCGUACCUAAGGCAAGCAUUGACCCAUUUCAGAUAAACAAGUUGUUCAACAUCGGCGCAUCGAUCAGUUUUCAUCUGUUCGAUUUCGUUUAUCAAAUUCUCAUUACAUUCCCUCGUUUUGUUGGCUUCCUC
This is a long non-coding RNA of Zingiber officinale, 812 nucleotides long. RefSeq lists it as uncharacterized. NCBI's taxonomy places the organism in Eukaryota, Viridiplantae, Streptophyta, Magnoliopsida, Zingiberales, Zingiberaceae. The transcript has 2 exons. The record is from RefSeq and is a predicted model, not a curated record.